CCUGUUCUACAGAGUCACAGGCAAGCUGGAGCCUAUCCCAGCUGACUAUGGGUGAGAAGUGGGGUACAUCCUGGACAAGUUGCCAGGUUAUUGCCGGGCUGACACAGAGACAAACAACCAUUCACACUCUCAUUCAUACCUACGGUCAAUUUAGAGCCACCAAUUAACCUAACCUGCAUGUCUUUGGACUGUGGGGGAAACCGGAGCACCCGGAGGAAACCCAUGCGGACACGGGGAGAACAUGCAAACUCCGCACAGAAAGGCCCUCACCAGCCGCUGUGCUCAAACCCAGGACCUUCUUGCUGUGAGGCAACAGUGCUAACCAGUACACCACCGUGUAUUGGCUUUGAUGCCAACCCUUUCCCCGGGUCAGCAUCGGAUGUGAGCAGAAUGAUACACACAGUGAUGGGUUUAUACACCUGCGGGGCGGGACCGCGCAGGCGCACUCUUCAACAGUUUCAACAGACACCAACAAUUUCUUCAACAGUUUCAACAGACACCACUUCAGUCCAGUCCACUCACUGUAUGCAGCACUUGGUAGACUUUUUUGGUACAAGGGGCUGAGCACAAGGCUAAUGAUGACGUGUGAUUGUAGAGAGGGGUGCUCUCUGAGGGCGCAGUCACACCAGGAAGUUUGGUUAGUUUCCUUCGUUGGUUUGGUUCAUUUGUAGUGGUGUGAUCGCUGAUUAAAUCGCAUGUGUGAAGACUUUGUACCAAUACCAUACACUGCCUCUUUCUUUCUUUCUUUCUUUCUUUCUUUCUUUCUUUCUUUCUUUCUUUCUUUCUUUCUUUCUUUCUUUCCCACCCAAUUUUUAAAGCCAUGGUUCACUUGACAUGCUGGGCCUGUGUGAACUUCAGGACAUUUUGGUGUGAAAGCAACCUCUCUUAUCGGUACCUCAGCAACAGCAUGCAUAAAGUUCACUUUACAAGCCUGGACCGUGAACUUGAGUACAUUUUGGUGUGAAAGCCAUCUGUUUUAUAUCCAUGUUUUACUUGUAUGGUGUUUAGAAUACAGUUCAGCACUUAAUCCAUGUUUUGCAUAUAUAGUAAUAUAUAUGAUGCAGUUCAGCACUUUGAACAUUGUUGACAUUGUUUAACUUUUUUAGCACUGUUCAUUAUUGCACUGUGCCAGAAAUUUU
Molecule: long non-coding RNA, 1139 nt
Organism: Neoarius graeffei (lesser salmon catfish)
Lineage: Eukaryota; Metazoa; Chordata; Actinopteri; Siluriformes; Ariidae
Exons: 3
Source: RefSeq, a predicted model, not a curated record